Molecule: ribosomal RNA, 274 nt
Filed under: uncultured bacterium
Lineage: Bacteria
Description: partial 16S ribosomal RNA
Rfam family: Bacterial small subunit ribosomal RNA
Source: RNAcentral
AUACGAACUUCGCAAACGUUAUUCGGAAUCACUGGGCUUAAAGGGUCCGUAGGCGGCCAGACAAGUAAGGUGUGAAAGCUCUCGGCUCAACCGAGGAAUUGCGCUUGAAACUGUUUGGCUUGAGUACGAUAGGGGUGUGCGGAACUUCUGGUGGAGCGGUGAAAUGUGUUGAGAUCAGAAGGAACGCCGGUGGCGAAAGCGGCACACUGGGUCGUAACUGACGCUGAGGGACGAAAGCUAGGGUAGCGAACGGGAUUAGAAACCCCAGUAGUCC